Molecule: ribosomal RNA, 500 nt
Filed under: Yersinia intermedia ATCC 29909
Lineage: Bacteria; Pseudomonadati; Pseudomonadota; Gammaproteobacteria; Enterobacterales; Yersiniaceae
Description: bacterial SSU rRNA
Rfam family: Bacterial small subunit ribosomal RNA
Source: RNAcentral
GUGAGACAGGUGCUGCAUGGCUGUCGUCAGCUCGUGUUGUGAAAUGUUGGGUUAAGUCCCGCAACGAGCGCAACCCUUAUCCUUUGUUGCCAGCACGUAAUGGUGGGAACUCAAGGGAGACUGCCGGUGACAAACCGGAGGAAGGUGGGGAUGACGUCAAGUCAUCAUGGCCCUUACGAGUAGGGCUACACACGUGCUACAAUGGCAGAUACAAAGUGAAGCGAACUCGCGAGAGCAAGCGGACCACAUAAAGUCUGUCGUAGUCCGGAUUGGAGUCUGCAACUCGACUCCAUGAAGUCGGAAUCGCUAGUAAUCGUAGAUCAGAAUGCUACGGUGAAUACGUUCCCGGGCCUUGUACACACCGCCCGUCACACCAUGGGAGUGGGUUGCAAAAGAAGUAGGUAGCUUAACCUUCGGGAGGGCGCUUACCACUUUGUGAUUCAUGACUGGGGUGAAGUCGUAACAAGGUAACCGUAGGGGAACCUGCGGUUGGAUCACCU